Mya arenaria is the source of this 1938-nucleotide long non-coding RNA. RefSeq lists it as uncharacterized. The record is from RefSeq and is a predicted model, not a curated record. The transcript has 4 exons. NCBI's taxonomy places the organism in Eukaryota, Metazoa, Mollusca, Bivalvia, Myida, Myidae.
UUUGACAAAAACUGAAACAGGGGAUAAAACAUGCUGAAUUAUAGGUCCAAAUCGAAAGAGAACAACAAUGCAUCAUCGAAUUUCUGAAAAUACAUUCAUUUAUCUACACAGUGAUACUAUCCAUUUGAUUCAGUAAUCUGUCGCAUUUUUCCGCAAGGGCUAUUUAUAAACACAUCGUUUCUGAGAGUGGCCAAAAACAAGAACAAUUUGAUGACUCAUAAGGCAUGCAACCUAAAAAGCCGAGAGUAUCCGAAUUAACCAGGAAGUAAUUUUUGUUUACUUUUUAAAUGCCAACCUCUGUAGAUAGUAAUUUAUUUUGAGUAAACAUUGAGUGAGAAAUAAAGCCAUAGAAUACAUUCAUACCACUCAAAUUCAGCCAGUCAGAAUGAUGGGAAGGAUUGCAGAACUGAGUUUCCCUCUCACCGGACUGAUGCAGAUUCAGUAACCUAAUUGCUCAUGAUGGUUUCUGAGAGAAAAAAAACAGCUUGGUGUAAUUUGACAGUAUUUUUCAGUAUUUGACAGUGGUUCUAUCAUGCAACAGUCAUACCAUGAAGUGUCUCACAGAUUCUCUCUCAAUUCCUGAAAUAUCCAAGAUUACAGUGUAGUGCAAAGAGGAUUAAUUUUCUUGCAAUAAGAAGUAUCUGCACUUCCAAAUACCCCUUAACAGUUCCUUCAUUUUUUGAGUGAUUAUAGAGUGAAAAUGUUUCUAUAUAAAAUGUUUUCUUUUUAUGUGUAAAACUUGUCAUGAAUGGUUACAAAUACAUGCAUGGACAUUAUGAUUCCAAAUCUAUGCACAUUUUGAUUCCAAUAAUUAAAGUAUUUUAAAUUUGGUUUGAAACAGAAAUAUUGUCCUUAUGUUUGUUUCUAAACAUUAUCUGGUAUUAUUCAUGUGUAUAGUUUCCAUGUCAAUUUAAAAAAAGUCGGUUCUUUUAAAAAUGCACUCUUACUACCACAUAAGAUUUACCACAAUUAAUACUUUUGUUUUAUUAUUACAAAAAGGAUGAAUAAAUGUUGAAAACAAUGGUUCUAAUGAAGGAUGCCUACUUCUACUUGAAGGAAAUGUGCAUAAAAGACAGUAUUUCUACCAUUUGAGAUCAUAGUAGAUCACAGUAAAUCUUUAUGCAUUCACCAAUCAUUUAAUAUCUUUGCUUUUUCAGCUUAAAUACACGGUUACAAUAUUUUUAUCAAUACUUAAUAUUUUCCAAAAAUGAAUUAUUAAGUAAGUUGUUAAAGGGUUAACAGUCAAAGUAUAUGUUUGUUAUACAUGUGUAUGUAUUGAUACUGAAUAAGAGUGUCACUUUAAACAGUUGCCAUGGUAACUAUAGGGUCUAGUUUUCUUAAGAAACUGUAAUUGUUGUCUAAAAACCUUUGUAUUUGCAAUGUGAUACUUUUUAGCAUGUCUGCUUCAGUCAAUGAAAUAUUUCUGUUAUUUGUUAAUCAUUUGGUCAUACUUUGUAUACAAUUAUAUUUAUAAUUUAACCUUGAAAAUUGCUGACAAUCUCAUACUUAUAUUGAAAUAUUCAGAAUUGCUAGAUGGGUUGAAGUUCACCUUUAUUACAACUGUCAGGCAAAUCAUGGCAAGAUGUACAUAAUUCUCCUUUUUAACAAAAAGCGAUGUUUAAAGCAUUUUUUUUUUUUUUUAUUUAAUGGUUACCAUGGCAACUAAUUUUUUGUUUGCCUUUAAUCUUCCUGUUUAUAAUACUAUUAAUUGUAAAAAUGCAACAGUCAAGCAGUGAAUGGAAGAAUGUAAAUGUUCUUUGUCUUUUACCUUUUUCAAGCUCAUUCUUCAAAAUAUAAAGCAAUUUUAAAAUUUCUUAAAAAUGGACGUUUUUUCAUCAUUUUCUUAAAGUAAAAUAAUUUGCUUAAAACUUUGUUUAGGUUCUGAUAUUUAGGUAUGUGUAUUAAUUUUAUAGAAAAUAAACAAAAUGUGUUGUUUGA